CCAGCUGCUGGACAUGUAACUACGUGGUUUAGUGUUUACCUGCUGGGUUUCCGUUUCCUCUUGGUCUGGUUUGUGCCAUUGUGUAAGAGAAGCACAUACUUGCUUUUGGAUUUUCAGGGGCUUACACCUGACAAUUUUCCUGGAGUCUCAGAGGAGACUAUAGACUUUUAAAUAUUCUGGGAUAAUAGAGACUACAAGAAGAUUUCAUACUGGAUUGAAUACACUUUGCAUUGUAAGAAGCCAUAAGCUUAUGGGGCAGAGAGAGGAAGUUGUGAACUGUCCUCCAUACCUGGAUGGAGUCCUAACUGACUCACAGGAAGAAUACUUAGCUCAGCUUUCCUCAGCGUUAACCUCUACAGUCACCAUGGGCUUAAAAACCGACAAGAACCCUACAAAGCAAAACUGAGACUUGGCAACAUCCAGAACAGUUUCUUGGCCUCCUCGGGAGGAACUGUUACACCUUCACAGCCAUCUCAGAAGCCAGCACCCAUGUACUGUAAGUUAUCCAGGCCUGGGAAAUGGGGCAAACUGUCUUAGCAGAUGUGUUCUCACAGCACAUUUCCAUGUGGAACAGAAACGUGUGAACGGGUGUUGGAUGUGGACACAUGUGAGCCCAUUUCUAUCUUUAUUACCUUUGUCUAGUCUUUACUCAGCUUUUGGACAUCACUUCUCUGUUUUAUUGACAGUGAUUUUAUAGACUAUUUUAAAUGAGAGAGAGAAAGAAUAUAUAGAAACACUGUGGUAAAAGAAACUCUCUUGAAAGUUUCUGACAUUACUAUGGAGUAAUGACUAUACUGUAGAGGCACGGGGCUUCCAGGCUACAUGAAAAUACCUUUUUUCCCUUGUGUAUACUGUGAGCCACAAGUUGGGCCCAUGUGAGUAUUCAGAGAUUUAUAAUUAAUUUCCAGUUUCUCUAGGUUUCCAUUGGGUUCUACUUCCCUAUGUUGACAGCCUAGCUCCCCAGAGGUCUCUGAUUCAAAAUUCAGCAGUGGUUCAGCAAUACCCCUAAGUCUCCAUGUUUGUGUGCAUGGCACAUUGCACAGUGCCUUUUAAAUGCAGCUUGCAGCCAUAAGUCAACUCAGUCUUUUUUGAGGUUCCUUUAACUUUGGACUUUAUAUUUGGGCUUCAAAGUGUUCCACGGUCAAGAAUCCAUUGUGCUCACAAUUGUCUUUUGAAGUAAGUAAAGCAGUCUCCUUUAAACACUAGAGAAGGAUGGGCAGAAGUUCUUGGGCAUGGCCAGGGUCACAUAGCAAGUCUAGGAUGGAGAAAGGGUUGGGAUUUAUUCUAUUUUUUUUUUUUUUUUCUGAGACAGGGUUUCUCUGUGUAGUCCUAGCUGUCCUGGAACUCACUCUGUAGACCAGGCUGGCCUCGAACUCAGAAAUCCGCCUGCCUCUGCCUCCCAAGUGCUGGGAUUAAAGGCGUGUGCUACAACACCUGGCAUAAUUUUUAUUUAUGGUGUGUGUGUGUGUGUGUGUGUGUGUGUGUGUGUGUGUGUGUGUGUGUAGGGGGUCAGAGGACUACUCUUGGGAGUCAGUUCUUUCCUUCCACUACAAGUAGGAUCCAUGAAUUGAGUUUACAUGGUCAGGUUUGCAUGGCAAGUGCUUUUACCUGCAGAGUCGUCUUGGUGGCCUGAGAUUCUUUUUGCUUAUUCUUUUAAGAUGGAGUUUCACUGUUGCCCAGGCUGGCUUUGAACCCUUAUAUAGCUGAGGCUGGCCUUAAAUUCCUGAUUUCUUGGCUAUAAACGCUGGGAUUAUAGAUGUGUGUCUCCAUGCCUAUAUACAUGUUGAGAUCUAUCAGCUAUCUCUUGGGGUCACACUAAAACAUUAUCUAAAAAAGAUGCCCUUUGUUUUUAGCCAAAAAUGAGUGAGAUGUGUGGUUGCUUUUCCUCACUUAUUUUGAGGAUCAGGUCACUUAUCAGGAAGAGCACUUCAGAAACUAUUAUUGGUUGAAUAAACUCAACGUGGUGAAAUGUUUCUUUCCUUUUUUUUUUCUUUUAAGUGUUUGAAAUCACAGAAUAAAAAAAAAAAAAAAGAGUUCGCAGCAGACAUUGUUUAUAAGCAUGAGAUGUAAAAGGAUUAUUAAUUAACAUUCUCCCCUGAAGAGAAGGGUGCAGCAAGGAGAGGAGAAAAAAAAAAUUGAGAGAUCAAAGAGAACAAAUCUUACUGUAGAAGUUAGUGUGUCUUCCAACACUACCUUAACUCUGCUACAGUUGGAGCCAGUACCUGUUGGCUUCUCUCUGCAGUACUUUUUGCUGUACAAGCCUUUGUGCCUAGCUCACAGGAUGUGCCUGAUGCUCUCCUAAGCUGUCCAACCACUCAGUCUACUCACUGCUCAUGCUGAUUCUGCCUCUGCUGCCUUUGAACUCCUGCUCCUUUGGGGGGGAGGGGGUGCGUUCUCUGAUGCAGAGCAAUAGGAAGAUUUCUAACAAACGUCCUCUAAACUCUUGUUCCCAGAUCUUUAAUAAAAUAAAUUCAUAAACCUCCCCAUUUUUAAACAGUGGGUAGACAGCAGUGAGGAAAUACACUCUUACAUAUUAAGAAGGCCCAGGGAAAAUUCAGCCAUGAAAUAAUUUUGAUGUCCUGAAUUAGCUUCUAUGAAAUCCAGAGAAUAUGCUAUUUCAGGAAUAUAGAGUGCCACCAAUUUUGCAUUCAUUUGGAGUCUUUCAUUUUUAGCUUCUUGAACAACAGAGAUAUUUGUUUAAAUGCAGAGCAAGUUUCAUCCAUGCACAAGCCUCAGUCAGCCACCAAUGUUCUCUGAAGCUUCAUUUAUUUAUUUAGAACAUUUUUGAAACUUGUCUCACUAGACAGCUCAAGGCUGGCUGGAACCUGCUAUGGCUAACCUUGAACUCAUUUCCCUCAUGUUUCAGUCUCUCAAAUGCUAGGAUUACAGGCAUGCACCAGUGUGUCUUAUUCCUUUGGUACAGUGUCUUGGGUUUUUUUUUUUUUUUUUUUUUUGGUUUAUAUAUUGUUAUUGCUUACAGGGCUUUCCGUUAGUCUGUGCUUGGUGGAUGAUACACUGGAUAUAAGAUGCUGAGAUGGUAGUGGAGAAGAACAGAAUUGGAUCAGGCAAGUCUGGUACACCAUGAGUAUUGAAGCAGUGUCAUGGAAAACUGUCAAGGGAAGAGCUGGAACAGAGAAUUGCUUUCUUUUUCUUCAAAUGAGCAAUUAUUUCCCAUUCAUAACAGAGCACUCAUGUCUGUCAUACACAGAUGUGAUUAGCUUGGUUAAGGGCGGCGUCAUUCCAAGAAGAGGUUAAAACUUUAGGACUCAUUUAGCAAUUAAUGUAGUUACUACUGUACCCACCUUUGUGUGUCCUGUUUGCCAGCCAUCCUGUAAUUGCUUAGGAGAAGCUGUGUCAGUGGACCUCCUGUGUGUCUUAAUUGAUGACAUUCAGCACCCUAGCCUUGCUAAUAUGUGAGAGAUGGACUGGCCCUCAGUCUUUGUCUUUUGUGGCAGAAAUAAGGGAAGGAAAGAGUGAGGAGAAGGACAGGGUGAGAACACUUUAACACUGGGGCUGUCCUUGAUGGUUUUUCUUGCUAAUCAUUUUGGGGAAGAGAAGUACAGAAGGCAUGCAUUUCUAUCUGACAGUAUUUGUCAGGUGCAAAAGUAAUGCCUGUAAAAUAAGUUGUUUUUAAAUUGGAAACAAUUUCAAGCCAUCAUGGUAAACAUUUGCUUUUUCAAUUUGAAAUUAUGGAGAAGAAUGCACUAUGGUCAGGUAUCUCGAUGAAAUAAGAUGACCUUUGGUCUCAAAUGUGCUCUCAUAAGUAAAUGCUACAAUUGUUUUCACAGUUUGUUCUGUUACAUACCUUUCCAUUUAAUCUGCUUUAUGAAAAAAUGAGCAAGGCUUGACAAUCCAGGGUAUUCAUGGGACUGUUUGAGGUCUGCUUGCAAUUAAAAAGAGUCUCAGGAUUCCCUUUUAUUCUGUUUCCUUGAUUCAAGGGUGGGGGGGGGGGCACUUGCCUCCCCUUGCAUCCUUUUGGAGCCCGUUAUAAACUUGUGCAAAGAGCAGCUUGGGAUAAGGUUUUCCGUUAUUCAAGAAAUUGAGAUCCUCCAAUAAGUUAAGCAUUUGGAGAACCUUGAAAGUGUCUGGUAAAAUCCCAACUAAGUAGAAAUACGCAGGUUAUUAAGACAGACCAUGAGAAAAAUAGCAUCAUACUAUUUUAACCUCACUGUCCUUCAAAGAGGAGAAAGAAUCAUCACAUUUAAUUCCUCAAAAUGUUGGAGCCUACAAAAUUUUUAAAAAGAGUUUUUUAAGUAUAAGAGGCCCGACAUAUUACAAUUAUAAAUGGCAACCAUUCAAGAGAGAACUUUUGUGUAAUUAAAAAAAUAAAGUGAUUAAAUUCUUUUUGGGUGCUCCAAUAGGAAGAAUUGCUCCCAUUUACUUACACAAAGCCUAUUAUUGUUACAUAAAAUCAAGAAAAAUUUUUGGAGCAAAUUUCCCAAGAUUCCUGAUUACCCUAAGAUGUGUUAUUCACUAGACAAUCAUGUUCUCUAGAAGAGAAGCCAUAACUGAUGAUCAGGUUGAUGGUGACUUCGGAUUCUAAUGUGUCUGUCACAGGUCUCUGUAUCAUGAUAGAGUUCCUGUGAUAAAGUUGGUUUAAAAUAUGGCAGUGUCUCCCACAUGAUUCCAGAGUAACAGCAGCUGCAAGUUGGCUUUAUUGUACUGUGCCAUCCAGAGGAUGCUAUCUGUGAGGAUUUUAUCACAGCAGUGUAAAAACUUGAAAUUUAAAGCAAAAUAAGAAAAGCACACUAACUUAUGCAUUCACUAGAAAGUAUCCAUAUUUUUGUUAUAAAUAUAAAAGAAACAGAGCAAAGAAGACAUUCCCUCUGGCUCUAAUCCCCCAUGGAGGCACAGACACAUACAAUCCAAUAUGUUGUAGUUAAAACAGAGGCAAAAUCCUAUAGCAGUUGGUCACCACAAUAUUAUAGCUGAUAGUUACAGAUAUUAAACAGGUCUAAGACUACAUACAUGGGACAUCAGCAUGUAGAAGUCAAUAAAAAACAAAAGCAAUAAGCCCAAUAUGCAUUUAUUAGCUGGAUUCUUGGGUGCUUGUAUCCACGUGUGCUGGUUCCAUUGCUGCAGGACAGGCCACUCACUCUCCCUUCCCUGGCUAAGCCAGACAGGAACCUUCAGAAAACUGGCCUAGACUGAGGUGUCAUUGAAGAAGACUGGGCAAAUAGGCUCUUUGCCCCUUUUCUCAUUUCCAUUUUAUGGGACACCAAAAGAAAUAUUAUUUGGACACAAACUAGUUGCUACAA
This is a long non-coding RNA of Mus musculus (house mouse), 5258 nucleotides long. RefSeq annotates it as predicted gene, 53327. The record is from RefSeq and is a predicted model, not a curated record. The transcript is spliced from 2 exons. Lineage: Eukaryota; Metazoa; Chordata; Mammalia; Rodentia; Muridae.